AUUCCAUAAUUAUUCAAAUAGAAUCUCCAUCACCCGCACAAUCUUGAUCGACGUUCCACGAUCUUCUACUGUAUUACCCAAAUAAUAUCCGAAAAUUAGCAAUUUCGUAUGGGCGAAAUUUCUAGGAAAAUAUGGCUGAAGAUUCCACCAUCACUCUCACUUUUCUAGAAGGAAAACCUUAUGUAUUUAUAACACAAGUUUUAAGGGUUAAACUUCUUUUCCAAAACCUGUUAGGUUUUCUUUUCCACCAUAAAAAGGUUUAUGUUAUAAAUAGAAUUUUAUUUAUGGUGAAUGUUUAUAUGUAGAGAGAUUCUAGGGUUUAUUACUUGGUGGCUAAGUCACCCUCUCCCUAUAAAUAUAGAGUUAUAUUCCAUUGUAAAUCAUCCCAUAUCAAUAAGAAUUGUAUUCUCUCUACUUUUCUCUGCAAUACUCUUCUUCUUCUUUUAUUAUUUUAUAACACUUUAUCAGUAUGAUACUCUAAUCAAUUGAGUAGAAGUUUUGGGAUUGAGAAUAAUGAUUGUCAAUUGUUCCAUGAAGUUACUUCAUGAUUAAAUUCUGGAUUUCAAGUAAGUAUUUUACUUUCUCUUACAAAUUCUUGACAUUCUAUAAUUUGAUUUUAAAUACAAGCAUAGACAAUAAAUUUUGAUUGCAACUCUAAUGGAGUUUGAAAGAAAUUAUAACCACCCAAAGUGGUAAAAAUUACUAUAUCUUGCCAUGAUCAAAAUCAUAUAUAAUUGUGGCCAAAGAAUUGAAAACUUCCCAUUUAAUUUGCUCCAUUCUCAUUCUCUUUAGAGAAUGUGGUAGCAGUAUGUGAUAAGUCUUAAAUAAGAUAAUUACUACUAUGAAUGUAUCAAUAUAUAUGAACUUGGUAAUAGACGAAUAAAUUAUAAUCUUCAUUAUUGGGUAAUGAAAAUAAUAAGGAUUCUCAAAAGUAAUCCUUCACUCUGUGAAAGUAAUGUUUGUCAUCGAUUUGACAUGAAAUUUUGUAAAGCACAUAUAGAUGAUUAUGGUCCAUUCAUGAUGUGAAUGUAACAACGUGUAAUUUAUGAAUACAUAUUCAUUAUUGGAAGAAUAUGAACGUGCUAGUGGUGGUGAAUAUACCACACUCACCUCUAGAGGAAGAUUUGAGAUGAAAUAAGAAAAUAAUGUCAUUAUCAUGGCAUGAAUAUCACCGGUCAUGUACCUAUGUACGCCAAAUAAUCUGGUAAUGUGAUUAUUAUAGGACAACAAUGAUGCAAGAAACAGAACUUGCAUAUAAUUAUUACAAUAACCAUAAUGAUAUAAUUUUCUCUUUGAAAUAGAUAUAUGACCAUAUGAAUGUUGAUGAAUAUGUGGUAGUACAAAAUUAAUUGAGAGCUCUGGAAGAGCCAAUUAUCCUAUUUUGAAGAAAUACAAUUGAUUACCGAUAAGGUAUUAUGUUGUAGUAAGUCUCAAAGAAACUUAUUUAGUUUCCAAAGUACACGCGAAAGCAGUUGAUUAUAUUGAGACUAUAGAUAAAUGAAAAUUUUAAUAUUUUUUGUUACUACAACUUGCAGUGGGAUAAUAUUUAUGUGAAAAGUUACCCGUUUUAUCCUUCAAUUUGUACUACACAAACAAAAAAAUGCCAUAAUAAAAUAGAAAUUUAUUGAUAUAAAACUCAUAACAUAAUAAACUUGGAGUUUAUUAAUAUCCAGUAGGAAUAAUCAGUUAGCCAUAUCAAUUUAAGUAUUAUGUAUAAAAAUAAAAGAGAAUUCACAUGGGUAAAUAUUAAAGGACUAGAAAGUUCUUUACGGAUUCUCUUAUGUUAAUUGCUCAUUAAUUAAUAGACCAACUAAAAUUGGGAUUGAAUCCCAUGUAUAUUGAAAAUAUCAAAGGUGAAUACGGGCUCCUUCACCUUCCAUAUAUAUUCCCUCCGUUCCAAUUUAUGUGAACCUGUUUGACUAGGCACAGAGUUUAAGAAAAAAUGAAGACCUUUAGAAUUUGUGGUCCUAAACAAGUCAAAAUGAGGUCCAGAGUAUUUGUGUGGUUAUAAAAGCUUCUCAUUAAGGGUAGAAUUGUAAGUUUAAGCUAAAUUGUUACCAAAUUUAGAAAUGGUCAUUCUUUUUGGAAUGGACAAAAAAGAAAAUAAGUUCACAUAAACUGGAAUGGAGGGAGUAUAACAUAAAAUGCAUUUAUAAGAUAGUUAUAUGUGCAAUUACUAUUAACUCACAACAUGGUAUUUUGCAAGGUAAUUUGCUCAAUAGUUUAUUUCAAGCAUAAUUUCUAGAUUUUCUAUUCAAGAAGUUCAUCUUAAUGUAAUGACUCGACCAAUCGUCUCAGGUAUCUCCGCCCCGUUUCCCCAUUCUAUGCUUCUAAAUAUUUUAUUAUAUGUCUUUGGUGAAUUUGAAGUAAUUCGGAUAGAGAUCGGUUAGAAAUGAGACAAUUAGUCUCUUUGAAGGUUAGUUUAGGAAAAGUCAAUCCAGUGUUGACUUAUGAGUUAGAGGGCUCAGAAUGGAUUUCUGAUGAUUCGACUAGUUUCGGGUGAUGAAUUGUGACUUAGGAGCGUAAUCGAAAUUGAAUUUGGAAGUCCGGUGUAGAAUUAGGCUUGAAUUGGCUAAGUUUGAAUUUUGGCGAAUUCCGGUUGAUAGGUGAGAUUUUGAUAUGGGGGUCGGAAUGGAAUUACGACAGUUGCAGUAGAUCCGUUAAGUGAUUUUGGAUAUGCAUGCAAAUUUUCAAAUCAUUCGGAUAUCGUUUGGUUGAGUUUUUUAUCAAAUACAAGUUUCGGGAGUUUUAGUUUAACUUAGGCAUGAAUCCAUGGUAAUUCGAUGAUCUUGAUGUUUACUGUGGUGAUUUUAUUGCUUGAGAAAGUUUGAGUGAGAUAUUAGAGCAUAUAUGUGUUUUUGGUUGAGGUCCGAGGGCGAUUUGAAGAGAGGUUCAACCGGUAUUGAUUGGAGGUAAGUCUCUUGACUUGGAAACACCAUUUUUAUAAAGAAUCAACCCUCAAAUCCAUGAAAAUAGGUUGAAAUUGUGAAGAACUAGGGCUUGGUUUUUGAAAACGAAUUUUUUGGAUUUGAAAGGACAUAUGAGCUCCGUUUUUGACAAAGUUUAUAUGUACGGACUCAUGGCGGGACGAAGAAUCCAUUGAUGUGAUUUUCAGAAUUUUUCGAGAAGUGGGAUCGGGGCUCGGGUUUUAGCAACUUCGUGAUUUUUAGUACUUUUCGAGUAUUUUUGAUUGGGUUAUGUUUCGUUAGCCCAUAUUUAUGUAUUCCUUGUGGGUUUGACUAGAUUCGACGCGCAUAGAGGAAGAUUUAAAAGGAAAAGGCAUUGCAGACCAGUCUACGGCCGGUUAGAGGUGAGUAGUUUGUAUAGAAGAUGGCCUGAGGGUUUAAAACCCCGGUUUAUAUAUUGUGACGCUAUGUUAGGGCGUGACUCGCACCACAUGGCAGGUGCAGGAUUGUUUAAGACUGGGGAUUGUGACUUGGUCUAUCGCGAACAAGAAUUAUAUUAUAUUGGCGACUGAUACGCACACUGUAUUGAUUACAUCUGGGCCUAUUUCCAUGUUUUGGGCCUUGUGCCAAUCUGUAGCAUCCGUCUAUGAUGAAUACCAUUGUGAUAGCAUGAUUUUUAUAAUCAUUAAACUCAGUCCUUUGUUUAAUCAUUGUUAUGAAAAGCUAAGUCACCUUUUUCCUGAAGUUAAAUAACUAAAUCAUAUUAUUCAUAAUAAUUGGAAACUGGGAAAUUGAUUAAAUCUGUUAUGUGACUCAUAUGCAUACUGUGGACUGAGUUUGGAUCAGUCUACACGCUGCAACAGUGAGGCUUUAUAUGGUAAGAGGUGCAGAUCUCUGGUAGUUUGGUUCGAGCCGGGUGAGGCAAGGCUAGUGGGGACAGACUUGGUUCAAGAUGCGUUGGAAAAGGUUAAAGUGAUUCAGGAUAUACUCCGCACAGCCAGUCUAGACAGAAGAGUUAUGUGGACUGGAAGGUUCGUGAUGUUUCCUAUAUGGUUGGUGAGUGGGUUCUGCUUCGGGUUUCGCCUGUGAAGGGCGUUAUGAGAUUUGGGAAGAAAGGGAUGAGUCUGAGGUUUAUUGACCCUUUUGAGAUAUUGAGAUGUGUUGGGGAGGUUUUUUAUGAACUUGCCUUGCCUCCUAGCCUAGUAGGAGUUUAUCUGGUACUUCAUGUUCCGAUGCUCUGGAGGUAUCAUGGGGACCCGUCGCACGUGUUGGAUUUCUAUUCAGUCCAUUUUGAUCUAUCCUAUGUUGAGGAGCCAGAAACUAUAUUGGACAGAUAGGUCAGAAAGUUGAGAUCAAAGUACAUCGCUUCAUUAAAGGUUCAAUGGCGGGGUCACCCGGUCGAGGAGGCGACUUGGGAGACCGAGCGCGAUAUAGCGCAUCCAAUACCCUCAUCUUUUCCCUACUCCAGGUAUGUUCUCUAUGCUCGUUCGAGGACAAACAAAUUUUUAAGUGUGGGAGGAUGUAACGACCCGGCUGGUCGUAUUUAAAAAUUUACGCCCUGAUCCCCUAUUAACAGCUUCCCCUACGCGUAUUUCUGCUAUUUUGGUUUGCUGGGACGUUCAGUGUUGGGUUUUGAGGAGUUUUGGGACACUUAGUCCCUUAAUGAGAGCGUAAGUGUUGGAAUGUUGUCGAUAGUCAGAACAAUGUACAGAUGGCCUCGGAAUGGAAAUCCAAUGGUUCUGUUAGUUCCGUUCGUUGAUUUUAGGGUUAGGAGCAUGUUCGGUAUGCGUUUUGGAGGUCUGUAUCUAAUUUAAACUUGAAAUGUCGAAGUUUGAAAUAUUGAAGUUUCCGGUCCGAAAGUGAAAUUUUGAUAUGAGGGUCAGAAUGGAAUUCUGAAAGUUUCAGUAGCUCCAUCAUGUCAUUUGGGAUGUGUAUGCAAAAUUUCAGGUCAUUCAGACAUGCUUUGGUUAGGUUUUUGAUCAAAAGCAUGUUUUGAGGGAAUUUUAAGUUCUUAGGCUUAAAUCAUUGAUUAAUUCGAGUUUCCGGCAUUGUUUUGGGUGGUUUAAGAAUUUGUACAAGUUUGAAUGAUAUUGUGGGAUAUGCCUGUAGGUUUGGUUGAGAUCCCUGGGGCCUCGGGUGUAUUUCGGAUGCUUAACGAGUCAUUUUCUCCUAUUUUUGAACUGUUGUUGCUGCUUCUGAUAUCCCUUCUUCACGUUUGCGAAAGCUUAGUUUGACAACCUGGGAAUUUCCUCUUCGCGUUCGCAUAACCCCUCCCGCGUUCGCAACGCGCAGCUUACUUUCCCAUCGCAUUCGCUUAAGAAUCCAUGCGUUCGCGUCCCCACUCCAGUCCACUCUUCGCGCUCGAGAGUGCUUUCAUGCGUUCGCGUAGAGCAGCUUCUGGACCUCACUAUUUUCUUCAUCGCAUUCGCAUUCCAAACGUCGCAUUUGCGUAGCUUCGUGAUCCCAGGCCUUCGCAUUCGUGUUCUGCCCCUCGCGAUCGCGAAUGGAAUUUUCGGAAACUUUAAUUUUUCAUCUUCACGAACGCGAGCUUGCCUCUACGUUCGCAAUGAAUUAAAUGUUUGGACAAUAUUAAACAUCCCAAAACCGAGGGUUCCCCAUUUUCAUCAAUAUACAAGCUUGGGAGCUCGGUUUUGGGAGAAAUGUCAAGAGACUUUCGAGGGCAACGUUGGGUAAUGAUUCUCUACUCGCUUAUACAUAAAACCCACUAACCUAAUCACGAAUUCCUCAUUAUUUUCAAAUUUUUGAAUGAAAAAUGGGUCAAACUUUAUAGACCAAAUUAGUCAAUUUUUGAGUGGAUAUUUGACCUCUGGUUGGAGAGAUUUUUUAUAUGGUUAGACUCGUGAGAGUACGAGGGUUCUGAAAAUGUAAAAUUUAUCCGAUUCAGAGACGUUGGCCUGAAGGGAAAUUUGGUUAUUUUACCUAAUUUCACGCGUUAGCUUUGAAUUAAAUAGUAGAAUCAGUUGCUUGAGAUGUUAUUUCCAAUAUGUAAUUGAAUUGAAUAGGUUUGAGCCAUUUGGAGUCGGAUACUCAUGGCAAAUGCGUGAUUUGUACUUGAUUUUGAGUCGGUUCGAGGUAAGUAGCUUGUCUAACCUUGUGUGGAGGACCUUUCCCCUUAGGAUGUGAUGUCACACCUCCUUGUUCACUACACUCGCAGAAGGCGUAAAGGAGUUUUUCCAAUUAAAGGACAAUCGGAACGAGAUCUAUUAUUAAGGUUCAGAGUCGCCACUUGGGAAAUUAAUAAUGUCCCAUGUCACCAGUUAAAACCCGAACCGAGAAAAAUUAUGACUCUGCUAACAGUCCGCGAACCAAAUAUCCGGAUAAGGAAUUCUAUUAACCCGGGAGAAGGUGUUAGGCAUUCCCAGGUUCCGUGGUUCUGACACGGUCGCUCAACUGUCGCAUUUAGCUUAUUAACUGAUUUUAUUACAUGAUGAACCUAUGUACCAGUUUUUUACUUUUUACCGCGUAUUAUUCAAUAUGUAUCUUUUAAAAGAAAUGUUAACGCCAUUUAAAGCGUGCCUUCGGAUCACGUCACAUGAAAUGCACACGCAAUCUUAAGCACACUUUAUUCAACAUUUUGGGAUUUGAUUUGGGUCGCAUGAAAUGUACACCCGAGUUUAAGAAUGUAAUUUUAUUAGAAUCAGGUCUGAAGAAUCUAACGUGUUAUUAUCUUUUCGGAGGGCCGUGAAAUUCACUAAACGACCCUUCCCAAUUAUCUAAAUAUUCUUAAAACCUUUAUUGAGGGCCCCUCCAUUUUUGCAUUUUAUCGGACAAGGCUCAUCUUAUUAUUUUAUUUAAGGCCAACCUAGAAGUAACUAUGAUUUUUCUAUUUUUGUCUCUAACAAAAAAACCUAACUACUUAUUACUAAAAAAAACCUUCCCUUGUAUUGAGAUCCACAAAUCCUCUGCUUUGUUACGCUCCCAGAAUGUAAUUUUGCCUCUGUACUUAUGCCAUACGCCCAAACUUAUCUAAGCAACCAUAUUGUUUUCCAAGCCAAAUCUAAACAAUCAGACAAUAGCCAAUAAAUAGCAAGUUGAACCGGAAACUUUGAUAAUCCAAGCAGCUACAAACAAUUGUCCACGAAAGGAUUUUGACUAAUCUUAGAAACCAAUAUGUACAUGUAAAAUAGACGGAAAACACCACCACAACAACAAUUACGAUGCAAACUAUAAUCGUAGUAAUACUGACAACACUUGGCCCCUUCUUGAUUAGUGACGCUAAAAAACAUAUGCCAAUGAAAGUGGUCAAAAUAGACAACCACGUCAUGAAAUAUGAAACCAAUCCAGUCAUUGUGAUCCAGAAAUAUUGCACUCCAACUCAUUUAACGGGGAUUUGCGAGGAAAUAAAGAACAGAAGGGUGGAAAAAGGAUCUGCUCAGCCGCAGCUCGUUCUAAAUAUCGAAUCAACAGAUACAGAACUCACUUCCACAGUUCGAUCAAGGACAGCUAUAAAAUCGAGCAAAAGCCAACGAACCAAAUCGAAACGACGAACAGGCCUUAAUUAGACACAGACUAUCCAGCAGACUGAACACUUUGCGAACCAUCAGCGCAGAAUUUUGCACUUAAAACUAUGCAAAGUUGUUGCUUAAACAGUGCAAAUUAGGACAGAUUAACUCAAUUUAACAAACUUCAGCUGCUUAAAUUUGAGUCGCAUUUGGUUACUUUCAAAAGUUCGGUGGCAAGGACUCAGAUUGAUUACCUGCUCCUCAGACGAAGUGACAGAGGUUUGUACAAGGACUGCAAGGUUAUUCCGAGAUAGUCCCUUUCGACUCUCCAUAGUCUCCUAGUUAUGGAUGUCGAUCUCUGAGUGAAAAGGAAGAAAGCGGCGCUCGGGGCCAAUCGCGGAUCAGAUGGGGUACUUUGACUAGGGAGAAAGCCCAGGAGUUUUAGAGGAGGUUAGUUGAUGGUGGAGCUUGGAGAAGUUCUGGGCGAUGCGGACUCAAUGUGGUUAGAGACAGCGCACUUGGUUAGGGAGGUAGCACGGGAUGUGCUUGGGGUAACCAAGGGCUAUUCAGGCAGACAUCUGAGUGACUGGUGGUGGAACGUUGUAGUCCAAGGAAAGGUGGAGGCGAAGAAGGCGGCGUUUGGUAAGUUGACAGGGAGCACAAGCGGGGAAGAAAGGAGGGUGAACAGGGAGAGCUAAAAAUGUGGCAUUUAGUCACAUGUACGAGAAAUUGGGGGAGAAAGGCGGUGACAAAAAGUUAUUCCGGUUAGGUAAAGUGAGGUAGAGGAAGGCGCGGGAUCUAGACAACGUUAGGCGCAUCAAGGACGAAAAUGGUAAAGUUCUGAUGAAGGAGUCUCGAGUCAAGCAGAGAUGGCAGGCGUAUUUCCGAGACCUUCUUAACGAGAAGGGGGAUCGAGUCAUAGAACUAGAGGAGCUAGGGAAUUCAGAGCGUCAUAGAGACAUUGGAUACUGCAUGCGCAUUAGGAUGGAGAAGGUCGUUGGGGCUUUGCGUAGGAUGAGUAGGGGUCGAGCAACCGGGCCAGACGAAAUCCCGUUGGAUUUCUGAAAAUGAAUGGGUAGGUCAGGAGUAGAGUGGUUGUCCAGGUUGUUUAAAGUGAUCUUCAGGACCAAGAGGAUGCCUGAGGAGUGGAGGUGGAGUAUAGUGGUGCCUUGUACAAGAACAAAUGGGAUAUCCAAUGUUGCAACAACUAUAGGGUAUCAAAUUAAUGAGUCACACCAUGAAGGUCUGGGAGUGGGUAGUCGAGGCGAGGGUGAGGGAGUCGACAUCUGUAUCUGCGAACCAGUUCGGUUUUAUGCCGGGGCGCUCCACCACAGAAGCUAUCCACCUUGUCAGGAGAUUCAUGGAAAAGUUUAGGAAUAAGAAAAAGGAUCUGCACAUGGUGUUUAUCGACUUGGAGAAGCCGUAUGACAAGGUCCCGAGGGAGGUGCUAUGGAGGUGCCUUGAGGCGAAGAGUGUGCCGGAAGCCUACAUUAGAAAAAUCAAGGACAUAUACGAUGGCGCUAAGACUAGGGUUAGGACGGUGGGUGGUGACUCGGACCAUUUCCCGGUGGUUAUGGGGCUUCAUCAAGGAUCUGCCCUUAGCCCUCCCUUGUUUGCCUUGGUGAUGGAUGCUCUAACUCAUCAUAUUCAAGGGGAUGUGCCUUGGUGUAUGCUAUUUGCUGAUGACAUAGUCUUGAUAGAUGAGACGAGGGUCGGUGUUAUCAUAUUCAAGGGGAUGUGCCUUGGUGUAUGCUAUUUGCUGAUGACAUAGUCUUGAUAGACGAGAUGAGGGUUGGCGUUAACGAGAGUUUGGAGGUCUGCAAAACAGACUCUAGAGUCUAAGGGUUUCAAACUAAGCAGGUCUAAGACAGAAUACCUUGAGUGCAAAUUCAGCGCCAAGCCGAGCGAAGUAGGCAAGGACGUGAAGCUUGGAACUCAGGUUAUCGCUAAGAGGGACAGUGUCAGAUAUCUUGGGCCGGUGAUCCAGGGGGAUGGAGAAAUCGAUGGGGAUGUCACUCACCGCAUAGGGGCGGCGUGGCAAAGUGGAGGCUUGCAUCAGGAGUCUUGUACUAUCCAGCAGACUGAACACUUUGCGAACCAUCAGCGCAGAAUUUUGCACUUAAAACUAUGCAAAGUUGUUGCUUAAACAGUGCAAAUUAGGACAGAUUAACUCAAUUUAACAAACUUCAGCUGCUCANNNNNNNNNNNNNNNNNNNNNNNNNNNNNNNNNNNNNNNNNNNNNNNNNNNNNNNNNNNNNNNNNNNNNNNNNNNNNNNNNNNNNNNNNNNNNNNNNNNNNNNNNNNNNNNNNNNNNNNNNNNNNNNNNNNNNNNNNNNNNNNNNNNNNNNNNNNNNNNNNNNNNNNNNNNNNNNNNNNNNNNNNNNNNNNNNNNNNNNNNNNNNNNNNNNNNNNNNNNNNNNNNNNNNNNNNNNNNNNNNNNNNNNNNNNNNNNNNNNNNNNNNNNNNNNNNNNNNNNNNNNNNNNUGCAUCAGGAGUCUUGUGUGACAAGAAAGUGCCACAGAAACUCAAGAGGAAGUUUUAUAGAGCUAUGGUUAGACCUUCCAUGUUACAUGGGGCGGAGUGAUGGCCGGUGAAGAACUCACAUGUUCAAAGGAUGAAGGUUGCGGAGAUGUGGAUGCUCAGGUGGAUGUGCGGGCUCACGAGGUUAGAUAAGCUUAGGAAUUAAAUUAUUUGGGAGAAAGUGGGGGCGACCCCAGUGGAUGAGAAAAUGCGAGAAGCGAGGCUCAGGUGGUUCGGGCAUGUGAGGAGGAGAAGUCCUAAUGCCCCGGUGAGGAGUUGUGAGCGGCUGGCGGUGGUCAGCGUGAGUCGAGGCAGAGGGAGGCCUAAGAGGUAUUGGGGAGACGUGAUUAGACAGGACAUGGCUAAAAUGCGAAUUUCCAAGGACAUGACGCUUGAUAGGAAAGUCUGGAGGUCUAGUAUUAGAGUUUUGGGAUAGGGGCGUCUAGAAAUUUUCGCACUCCAUUACCGGGGCUGGGUGGGGUUUGGUAGGGCUCUCCAUAGAUGAUCUGUGUAUUGGAUUGUUCCCACCUAUGGUAGUUACUGUUUAAUAUUAUUCCAUGCAAUUAUAUAUGUGUCUGGAGGUCUAGUAUUAGAGUUUUGGGAUAGGGGCGUCUAGAAAUUUUCGCACUCCAUUACCGGGGCUGGGUGGGGUUUGGUAGGGCUCUCCAUAGAUGAUCUGUGUAUUGGAUUGUUCCCACCUAUGGUAGUUACUGUUUAAUAUUAUUCCAUGCAAAUACUGAAGUUAAUUUGUUUUUGUUUUUGUUUCACUUUUCCUUUCCUAAGCCGAUGGUCGAUUGGAAACAAACUCUCUGCCCUUUUGGGUAGGGGUAAGGCUUGUGUACAUAUUAUCAGACCCUACUUUGUGGAACUAUACUGGGUAGUUGUUGUAACAGCUACUAUCAACUAGACUACACUCGAUGACAGUCUCAAAACUUCGACGUAAAGCGAAAUAGUACUCUCAACUAGCAGUCAUGAAGAAUCAACAGCAAUUAAGAAAGGUAUUUCACUUAACACAAUGUUGCCAGAAAGUAUUUGCGAAAUAGAAAGCUUCAACCAAUGAGCUGAAUUCACAAAGACGAAGUUGAAGAUGUCCGUCCUCGCGGAAAGAUUUAGUUAAAGCGAUAAAUUAAAAUGGCGACAACAGGAACUUAACUCUGACUCUUUUGCAUCCUAACACAAGGUUGCAAUACGGAUUUGCGACUCAAAUUAACUAAACUACUCCAAAGGAAGAAUCAGUAACAAACAGAAACAAAUAGACCAGAGGAGACAUGCAGAAAUCAAUGAAAACAGCAAAGGUCAUGUCAAGAAUUGCAUUACGGAGUGGUUACGCAUAAUCAAACUCAUAAACACUCCCAAUAUAACAAAGUCUCAAUUAUCAUCACAAUUGAUCAAUGCCAGAACAAGCAAAGAAAGAUUAAAGAGAUAGACCUGAAAUCGAACCUUUCUUUUGAUAACAUAAGCGAAAUCGAUUACAAAGAUUUGACCUCAAAAUUUCAGCGAGGAAACGACAGCAACUCAAACUUAAAGAACAGCAAACCCGUAGCAAAAAUGAGUAGGAAUCAAAAGCUCCGACAGCAACGAACUCAGCAACUUUCAAUAGAGCUCCACUUUCAAAUGAACUCCAGCCCAGAAAGAAAAGAUAAAGUAUAUUUUUUCUGAUUUUUUGAAAGUAAUUGAAAACGAAACUGAUAUAAGAAAUAUAUAUAUAUA
Molecule: long non-coding RNA, 11599 nt
Filed under: Nicotiana benthamiana
Lineage: Eukaryota; Viridiplantae; Streptophyta; Magnoliopsida; Solanales; Solanaceae
Description: long non-coding RNA (NBEN_LNC026879)
Source: RNAcentral